AUAUUGUCCUUCCCCCUAAGGCGAGGCAGAGAUGCGUAGCUGAUGGGAAGCAGGUUAAUAUUCCUGCACCGUCGUAUGAUGCGAUGGGGGGACGGAUCGCGGAAGGUUGUCCGGGUGUUGGAUGUCCCGGUUUUUUGACUCAUAGAAGGCGCUUAGGCAAAUCCGGGCGCGGAAUUCAAUGGGUCGAGACGAGAGACUUAGGUCUCGAAGCAAUCGGAAGUGGUUCCAAGAAAAGCCUCUAAGCUUCAGUCAUACGAGACCGUACCGCAAACCGACACAGGUGGGCGAGAUGAGUAUUCUAAGGCGCUUGAGAGAACUCGGGAGAAGGAACUCGGCAAAUUGGUACCGUAACUUCGGGAAAAGGUACGCCUCUGUAGUUUGACCACUUUACUGUGGAAGGACGAAAAGGUUGCAAUAAACUGGUGGCUGCGACUGUUUAAUAAAAACACAGCACUCUGCAAACACGAAAGUGGACGUAUAGGGUGUGACGCCUGCCCGGUGCUGGAAGAUUAAAUGAUGGGGUGCAAGCUCUUGAUUGAAGUCCCAGUAAACGGCGGCCGUAACGAUAACGGUCCUAAGGUAGCGAAAUUCCUUGUCGGGUAAGUUCCGACCUGCACGAAUGGCGUAACGAUGGCCACACUGUCUCCUCCCGAGACUCAGCGAAGUUGAAAUGUUUGUGAUGAUGCAAUCUACCCGCGGCUAGACGGAAAGACCCCAUGAACCUUUACUGUAGCUUUGCAUUGGACUUUGAACCAAUCUGUGUAGGAUAGGUGGGAGGCUUUGAAGCGGGGACGCCAGUUCUCGUGGAGCCAACCUUGAAAUACCACCCUGGUUUGUUUGAGGUUCUAACCUUGGUCCGUUAUCCGGAUCGGGGACAGUGCAUGGUAGGCAGUUUGACUGGGGCGGUCUCCUCCUAAAGUGUAACGGAGGAGUUCGAAGGUACGCUAGGUACGGUCGGACAUCGUGCUAAUAGUGCAAUGGCAUAAGCGUGCUUAACUGCGAGACUGACAAGUCGAGCAGGUACGAAAGUAGGACAUAGUGAUCCGGUGGUUCUGUAUGGAAGGGCCAUCGCUCAACGGAUAAAAGGUACUCUGGGGAUGACAGGCUGAUUCCUCCCAAGAGUUCAUAUCGACGGGGGAGUUUGGCACCUCGAUGUCGGCUCAUCACAUCCUGGGGCUGUAGCCGGUCCCAAGGGUAUGGCUGUUCGCCAUUUAAAGUGGUACGUGAGCUGGGUUUAAAACGUCGUGAGACAGUUUGGUCCCUAUCUGCCGUGGGCGUUGGAAAUUUGAAGGGGGCUGCUCCUAGUACGAGAGGACCGGAGUGGACAGACCUCUGGUGUACCGGUUGUCACGCCAGUGGCAUUGCCGGGUAGCUAAGUCUGGAAUAGAUAACCGCUGAAAGCAUCUAAGCGGGAAACUUGCCUUGAGAUGAGAUUUCCCAGAGCCUUGAGCUCUUUAAAGGGUCGUUCGAGACCAGGACGUUGAUAGGUCAGGUGUGGAAGUUAA
Molecule: ribosomal RNA, 1505 nt
Filed under: metagenome
Description: bacterial LSU rRNA
Rfam family: Bacterial large subunit ribosomal RNA
Source: RNAcentral